ACCUGCAAAUUUAUUAUAAGGAAUGUUGCCAGAAAGAGUGCUGCCGUGUAAAGGAAGUAGAAGAGAAACUAUGGGCUAAAGUUUGUUUCUGUCUUAGUUCACUGGGCUUCAUGCUGGUAAGGGAGUCAGUUACCUUUCUGGAAUAAAUUAUAGCCAGAGUUACAAUACUCAGAUGCUGUGUUAUGACUCAUUUGAGUUAUUUCUCAAAUGCAGGUAACUGACAUUUUGGCAUCAUUUUCUUAGGCUUUUAUCCUAACCAUAUAAAAUUAGGCCUAGCUUACAUAAUUUCUGCUAUUAGUUAUACUUGGCAGCGUUAGGGUACAGAUGGAAUCGCAUCAUGACUUUUAGUCUGGUGGAUGUGUAGACACUCAAAGAUUUAAGCAAGUGCCUUGUGUUUCCUGGAAAAUAUUAAAACUCAUUUGGGUGAAACCUUCCCAGAUGAUA
This 444-nucleotide long non-coding RNA is filed under the name Bos taurus (domestic cattle). Its description in RNAcentral is "long non-coding RNA NONBTAT017804". Lineage: Eukaryota; Metazoa; Chordata; Mammalia; Artiodactyla; Bovidae. The record is from RNAcentral.